UACGGGGGGAGCAAGCGUUGUUCGGAUUUACUGGGCGUAAAGGGCGCGUAGGCGGCCACCGCAAGUCGACUGUGAAAUCUCCGGGCUUAACUCGGAAAGGUCAACCGAUACUGCGGGGCUAGAGUGCAGAAGGGGCAACUGGAAUCCUCGGUGUAGCGGUGAAAUGCGUAGAUAUCGAGAGGAACACCUGCGGCGAAGGCGGGUUGCUGGGCUGACACUGACGCUGAUGUGCGAAAGCUAGGGGAGCGAACGGG
Molecule: ribosomal RNA, 254 nt
Filed under: uncultured bacterium
Lineage: Bacteria
Description: partial 16S ribosomal RNA
Rfam family: Bacterial small subunit ribosomal RNA
Source: RNAcentral